AUACGGAGGGUGCAAACGUUGUUCGGAAUUACUGGGCGUAAAGCGCGCGUAGGCGGCUUGUUAAGUCAGAUGUGAAAGUCCACAGCUCAACUGUGGAAGUGCAUUUGAAACUGGCAGGCUUGAGUACUGGAGGGGAUGGUGGAAUUCCCGGUGUAGAGGUGAAAUUCGUAGAUAUCGGGAGGAAUACCGGUGGCGAAGGCGACCUUCUGGCCAGAUACUGACGCUGAGGUGCGAAAGCGUGGGGAGCAAACAGGAUUAGAUACCCUAGUAGUCC
RNAcentral lists this ribosomal RNA (274 nucleotides) under uncultured bacterium. Its description in RNAcentral is "partial 16S ribosomal RNA". It matches the Rfam family "Bacterial small subunit ribosomal RNA", at positions 523 to 796 of the family's 1533-position model. The record is from RNAcentral.